CUUAAAAUUACACACAAUUGAGUCUUUUCAGUGUUCUUAAAUUACUAUGACGCAUUUACAUAUUCUUUGAAAAAACUUUUCUUCGCAGACUCGUUUAGUUCAAUUAGCUGAGCUCAUCGUUUCUUGCAUACCAAUGUUUCGUUGUUAUGAAUUAUAAAGUUGUAACGCUCACACUUGGGACAUAUGAUCACGAGUAAAAUUACGAAUUCGGAACUGACUCUAGUG
Molecule: long non-coding RNA, 225 nt
Filed under: Mytilus galloprovincialis (Mediterranean mussel)
Lineage: Eukaryota; Metazoa; Mollusca; Bivalvia; Mytilida; Mytilidae
Source: RNAcentral